AUUGAUUUUAUGCUUGCAUAAAUGAUUUUUGGAUUCGGAGCGAGUGGCGAACUGGUGAGUAACACGUGGGUAACCUGCCCCGAAGCGGGGGAUAACACUUGGAAACAAGUGCUAAUACCGCAUAAUUAGUUGGAACCGCAUGGUUCCAACUUGAAAGAUGGCUCUGCUAUCACUUUGGGAUGGACCCGCGCCGUAUUAGUUAGUUGGUGAGAUAAAAGCCCACCAAGACGAUGAUACGUAGCCGACCUGAGAGGGUAAUCGGCCACAUUGGGACUGAGACACGGCCCAGACCCCUACGGGAGGCAGCAGUAGGGAAUCUUCCACAAUGGACGAAAGUCUGAUGGAGCAACGCCGCGUGAGUGAUGAAGGUUUUCGGAUCGUAAAACUCUGUUGUUAAAGAAGAACAAGUGUUAGAGUAACUGUUAACACUUUGACGGUAUUUAACCAGAAAGCCACGGCUAACUACGUGCCAGCAGCCGCGGUAAUACGUAGGUGGCAAGCGUUGUCCGGAUUUAUUGGGCGUAAAGCGAGCGCAGGCGGUUUUGUAAGUCUGCUGUGAAAGCCCUCAGCUCAACUGAGGAAGUGCAGUGGAAACUACAAAACUUGAGUACAGAAGAGGAAAGUGGAACUCCAUGUGUAGCGGUGAAAUGCGUAGAUAUAUGGAAGAACACCAGUGGCGAAGGCGGCUUUCUGGUCUGUUACUGACGCUGAGGCUCGAAAGCAUGGGUAGCGAACAGGAUUAGAUACCCUAGUAGUCCAUGCCGUAAACGAUGAAUACUAGGUGUUGGAGGGUUUCCGCCCUUCAGUGCCGCAGCUAACGCAUUAAGUAUUCCGCCUGGGGAGUACGACCGCAAGGUUGAAACUCAAAGGAAUUGACGGGGGCCCGCACAAGUGGUGGAGCAUGUGGUUUAAUUCGAUGCUACGCGAAGAACCUUACCAGCUCUUGACAUCUUCUGCCAACCCAAGAGAUUGGGCGUUCCCUUCGGGGACAGAAUGACAGGUGGUGCAUGGUUGUCGUCAGCUCGUGUCGUGAGAUGUUGGGUUAAGUCCCGCAACGAGCGCAACCCUUAUUAUUAGUUGCCAGCAUUUAGUUGGGCACUCUAGUGAGACUGCCGGUGAUAAA
RNAcentral lists this ribosomal RNA (1123 nucleotides) under uncultured bacterium. Its description in RNAcentral is "bacterial SSU rRNA". It matches the Rfam family "Bacterial small subunit ribosomal RNA", at positions 47 to 1162 of the family's 1533-position model. The record is from RNAcentral.